UGUUCGUAUUUAUUUGGUUUAUUACUAUACAUGUAUUUAAUUAGUAUUUGAAUGUAAAAACAUUAUUUUAUUUAUGUUGUCUGGAUUGGUGGCUAUUAUCCGCGCUGCUCGCUGGAAUGCAGAAUAUUCUGCAGCUUGUCAGGUCACAAAUACUCAAUUAAUCUAAGCUCGUACAAAACAAGCUAUUAAGCAAAAUGAAUUUAUUAUAUUUUUAAAAACAACAACAAUAAAAACAAAACAAAAACCACUAAAUGCGCAUGCAAAAUACAUACAGGCUCGCCACCGUUUUUUUCUCCAUCCAUUUCUUUUGACGGCUUGCUUCUGUUGUAUUGAACGAAAUAAAGGCACACAAAAACUCGAGUAAUUCGGGUUUCUUCGGCUGUGCCAAAUUUUUCAUUCCGCUUUACGCUUUACUUAUUUUCACUCAUCUCGCUGAAUGCCGUCUGGUAUGAGACACAAGCGCAGUCACAUUGCUACUCAUGCGUUUCAUUGUGUGCCUUGCACUCACUUAAUUCAAUUCAAUUCGAGUCCACUCAAUUUAACGUAUGUUGUGAGUGAAGCCAUGCAGCCCUCUAGUAUGAACGCAAGGAUCUCAGAACCUAUAAGAGCUACAGACUUGAAAGCGGAUCUGCUCCUGAUAUGAAAUUGGAUACAGCGUCGGUCAAGCCCUUGUUCAGCUGCCUUGGACAAACUGCUCGAGUCAUUUGUGUUAUCAUUGCAGAGUACGGAGGCCAAAUUUUUGUUAUAAGUGGAGGUGAGGAUUCGCAUAUAUGCGUUUGGAGUGAAUCAGGAGAAUUGUUAUUCAAACGCCGUCAACAAUUUGGCGCGCCGAUAUGGCGCCUGAGUUUCGAUCAUUCUACCUAAACACUCUAUAGCACAGGCUCAACAGGAAACGGACUUGCUUACAACUUAAAAAUGACUUUAAGAUCAAAACAGAUCCAUUCAACCCAACUGAUACCGUUAAAUUCAUCCACCGAAUUUAUGAAAAAAUUAAAUAUUUAAAUAAUACUUAGUACAAUCAUUGCUUUAAGCAAUAAAAAUAACACGUUCUGCAUGAGACUUAUUAAUUCAUCUGAAAUGAAAAUUUGGAAAUCGGUUGAAGAUUUCCCCACCUAUAAGUGCACAGUUCUAGCUGUUAAUGAUGGAAUAAUUGCUACCUGUGGCUACCAACGUGUUACACUUCUAAGCUAUAACGGCGAUACAGAACGUUUUGUGCUACUUUACGAUGGAGUGAAGCUCAAAGGUCUUAUCCAAUCAUUUCAGUUCCUCAGCAAAGAACUUUAUUUGAUAUCUGAUGAAUAUGGCAAAUGUCUUUUACUGAAAGGAAAUAACAUGGAUGUUGAAGGAAGCAUAAUUAUCAGUAAAUGUCGUGAGCCCUGGAUAACAGCUGUACUCGCAAUGGCCAUCUUAUUCUCUACACACGAGAAGACAGUGAACAUUUACAACUAAAGACCAUACUUAAACGCUUGCAUGGCAAAUUGGGAUCUACUCUCCUUCAAUUGUUUAAGAUUGAUGGGAUACAUAUUAAGGGCAUUUAGCGUGGAUAGAAGCAUCACCGACAUUAGAUUUGUUGAUCGGAUUUAAUGACAAUCAUAUUGUGGCUUGGUCUCAUAAAAAUGACGUGAUUUUACAAUUGCAAUGCGGAGGAGGCCAUUGGUGUUGGGACUAUCAGUUAAACAAUGAAGUAAUUGAUAAAAUAUAUAUAAGGCAAAAGCAUGUAUUUCACUAUCGCGAGUUACUUCACAAUAAAUGGUCUUCAUGUUUAUGGCAGACUUUGCGAAAGGAUUGGCACACACGAAGUUGCAAUAUUAUACAAUUAAUUGAACAAAAUAAUGUGCAGCUAUAUAUUGUGUCAGCCGGUGAUGAUAAUAUUAUUAAAAUUAAUCAGCUUAUCGGUCAGUCGUUUUAUCAGUGUGCCGAGUUGCAUACGCACAUCUCAAGCAUACGACAUUUAGUAGUAUACCCUUUAAAAUCUGAAAACGAUGUAAACUAUUAGCUUAUCUUCUCAGUCGGAGGUCGGGCGCAGCUAUGCAUUAAUAAGUUUGACACAAAUGGCCCAAUCGUAAGUGAACUGUGCUCGCACAUAGUACGAUCAACAAGCGGCGAUAACGGCUUACAUGAUGCUCGAUUAAUGGCAAUUAACGUUUUACAGCAUGCUACACCUGGAGAAUUCGCACUUUAUAUUGCCAGCGCUGAUGGAAAAAUUCGGUUGCUCCACUGGCAGCUAGAAAGACCUACACAAAUUUACUUACACUGUCAAAUUGACAUUAAAAGAUGUCCGCUUCAGAUGCAGUCUUCGAAUAAUCUUAAUUUAUUGCUAAUCACAACCACAAAUGGCAUGCUGCAUGGCUUCGAUAAGACUCUUUGCCUAAAACGGUUUGAGCUUCAGUUACACGCGGCUGGUAUCAAUGCUUUUGACACGUUAGACGAUGGCUCCCGUUUACAUAUUUUGUCCGGUGGAGACGAUGAAAUCUUUAAGUACACCACAAUCCAAAAAUCCGACAUGAGUGUUCUACAAAGCACGCAGUUCUCGGCCAUGCAUAAUGCUCAGAUAAAUGCGUUGGGAAUACAUUCAUUGAAACGCGUUGAUGAAGCCCCUCAACUACGUGCUUAUACGUGUAGCAUGGAUAAACAAAUUUAUAUGGUAAAUUUAACAACUUUAAAAUACACUCGCAUCGGUUAUACAUGUCUAUCUGAUAUAAAAGGAAUGCUGCUAGAUAAAAAUCAGCGUUUAUAUAUUUACGGUUGUGGGCUAGAAGUAAUUUUACUGGAAAAUAGUUAAAUAUAUGUUAAAAAAAUAA
Molecule: long non-coding RNA, 2801 nt
Organism: Drosophila montana
Lineage: Eukaryota; Metazoa; Arthropoda; Insecta; Diptera; Drosophilidae
Exons: 2
Source: RefSeq, a predicted model, not a curated record